ACGAGGCGCGGGGCGCGGAGUGGCAAGAGCGCAGCAUGGGCUGCGCAGAACUGAGGCAGACACCCAGAGGCUGCCAAAUUGUCAUCUGAGCCGGACCGGGUUUCGGCGGCCGCGCUUUAUAGUCGCUGGAGCCUGGUGACCUAUUCCAGGGCUACAAGACUGCCUCGGCAAACAGCCCAAGGAUGUUCGGUUAUCUCGCCUUGAGGGUUCGCGCGUCACGUGCCCCCCCCGUCCCCCGCUUGUUUUUCAGUUUAAAAGUGGGGCCCGUGUCUGCAGGACUCUAGGAGCUGCGGGCCCACCCAUUCACUGAUGUUACCCUCUCCUGUCAUUUCUCCUUUGUGAAGGGCACUGAAAAUCUUGAGUUUUCUUGGGAAAGAGAAGACAUCAAACAGGCAUAUGAGGUAGAGGAUAAUAAAGAAUAUUACCUCCUUUUCAAGUACCUUGAUUUUUUUGAAGUUUUCUCGAAGUUGGUUUACCAGUUUCACAAUAACACAGAGCAACUAGAAGAUCAAAAUUCCUUGUAUGAGGGAAGAGUAUCUGUGGACCAGGCUGAAAUUUCUGAGGGGACUCUAUCACUUUUACUAAGAAAUGUGGAUUUCAUGGAUGAAGCUAUCUACAAGUGCUCAGCCAUCACACCAGAUGGAAGAGGUGAAAGUACAAUUAAGCUAAUAGUAGAAGACUCUGAAAUGCCCCAGGUGCAAUUUGACAGGAUUGAUGAUGAGGAUGUGGCCACAUGCAUCUCAAAGGACUAGUACCUCACGCCCAUUGUGACAUGGCUGGACCGGACAGAGAGGGACCUGAGCAACCACAGCAUCGUGGAAAUCCUGGAGGAGCAGAUGAAUGGCUUCUACAGGGUGUUCUCCAUCCUGAAAUACC
RNAcentral lists this long non-coding RNA (876 nucleotides) under Homo sapiens (human). RNAcentral's name for it is "non-protein coding lnc-NDUFB4-1:2". The record is from RNAcentral. Lineage: Eukaryota; Metazoa; Chordata; Mammalia; Primates; Hominidae.